GAGGAAUAUUGGGCAAUGCCCGCAAGGGUGACCCAGCAACGCCGCGUGGAGGAUGAAUGUCGUAAGAUUGUAAACUCCUGUUAGAGGGGAAGAAUAGUACCGGUUGGACCGGUAUAUGACUGUACCCUCAGAGAAAGCCCCGGCUAACUACGUGCCAGCAGCCGCGGUAAUACGUAGGGGGCAAGCGUUGUCCGGAUUUACUGGGUGUAAAGGGCGCGCAGGCGGGAUAAAAAGUCAGUGGUGAAAUCCUACAGCUUAACUGUAGAACUGCCUUUGAUACUUUUAUUCUUGAGUUCGGGAGAGAGAGACGGAAUUCCAGGUGUAGUGUGAAAUACGUAGAUAUCUGGAAGAACACCAGUUGCGAAGGCGGUCUCUUGGUCCGACACUGACGCUGAGGCGCGAAAGCGUGGGGAGCAAACA
Molecule: ribosomal RNA, 420 nt
Filed under: uncultured bacterium
Lineage: Bacteria
Description: bacterial SSU rRNA
Rfam family: Bacterial small subunit ribosomal RNA
Source: RNAcentral